Molecule: ribosomal RNA, 271 nt
Filed under: uncultured Arcobacter sp.
Lineage: Bacteria; Pseudomonadati; Campylobacterota; Epsilonproteobacteria; Campylobacterales; Arcobacteraceae
Description: partial 16S ribosomal RNA
Rfam family: Bacterial small subunit ribosomal RNA
Source: RNAcentral
GUUUAGUUGCUAACAGUUCGGCUGAGAACUCUAAACAGACUGCUACGCAAGUAGGAGGAAGGUGAGGACGACGUCAAGUCAUCAUGGCCCUUACGGCCAGGGCUACACACGUGCUACAAUGGGGUAUACAAAGAGCAGCGAUACGGUGACGUGGAGCAAAUCUAGAAAAUGCCUCUCAGUUCGGAUUGUAGUCUGCAACUCGACUACAUGAAGUUGGAAUCGCUAGUAAUCGUAGAUCAGCAAUGCUACGGUGAAUACGUUCCCGGGUCUU